UUACAGGCUUAACACAUGCAAGUCGAGGGGCAGCAUUUUAGUUUGCUUGCAAACUGAAGAUGGCGACCGGCGCACGGGUGAGUAACACGUAUCCAACCUGCCGAUAACUCCGGAAUAGCCUUUCGAAAGAAAGAUUAAUACCGGAUAGCAUACGAAUAUCGCAUGAUAUUUUUAUUAAAGAAUUUCGGUUAUCGAUGGGGAUGCGUUCCAUUAGUUUGUUGGCGGGGUAACGGCCCACCAAGACUACGAUGGAUAGGGGUUCUGAGAGGAAGGUCCCCCACAUUGGAACUGAGACACGGUCCAAACUCCUACGGGAGGCAGCAGUGAGGAAUAUUGGUCAAUGGGCGAGAGCCUGAACCAGCCAAGUAGCGUGAAGGAUGAAGGCUCUAUGGGUCGUAAACUUCUUUUAUAUGGGAAUAAAGUUUUCCACGUGUGGAAUUUUGUAUGUACCAUAUGAAUAAGGAUCGGCUAACUCCGUGCCAGCAGCCGCGGUAAUACGGAGGAUCCGAGCGUUAUCCGGAUUUAUUGGGUUUAAAGGGAGCGUAGGUGGAUUGUUAAGUCAGUUGUGAAAGUUUGCGGCUCAACCGUAAAAUUGCAGUUGAAACUGGCAGUCUUGAGUACAGUAGAGGUGGGCGGAAUUCGUGGUGUAGCGGUGAAAUGCUUAGAUAUCACGAAGAACUCCGAUUGCGAAGGCAGCUCACUAGACUGUCACUGACACUGAUGCUCGAAAGUGUGGGUAUCAAACAGGAUUAGAUACCCUGGUAGUCCACACAGUAAACGAUGAAUACUCGCUGUUUGCGAUAU
This 804-nucleotide ribosomal RNA is filed under the name uncultured organism. Its description in RNAcentral is "SSU rRNA". It matches the Rfam family "Bacterial small subunit ribosomal RNA", at positions 40 to 832 of the family's 1533-position model. The record is from RNAcentral.